This 492-nucleotide ribosomal RNA is filed under the name uncultured bacterium. Its description in RNAcentral is "partial 16S ribosomal RNA". It matches the Rfam family "Bacterial small subunit ribosomal RNA", at positions 29 to 507 of the family's 1533-position model. The record is from RNAcentral.
AGUGAACGCUGGCGGUAGGCCUAACACAUGCAAGUCGAACGGCAGCACAGUAAGAGCUUGCUCUUACGGGUGGCGAGUGGCGGACGGGUGAGGAAUACAUCGGAAUCUACUUUUUCGUGGGGGAUAACGUAGGGAAACUUACUCUAAUACCGCAUACGACCUACGGGUGAAAGCAGGGGAUCUUCUGACCUUGCGCGAUUGAAUGAGCCGAUGUGGGAUUAGAUAGUUGGCGGGGUAAAGGCCCACCAAGGCGAGGAUCCGUAGCUGGUCUGAGUGGAUGAUAAGCCACAUUGGAACUGAGCCACGGUCCAGGCUCCUACGGGAGGCAGCAGUGGGCAAUAUUGGACAGAGGGCGCAAGCCUGGUCCAGCCAUACCGCGUGGGUGGAGAAGGCCUUCGGGUUGUAAAGACCUUUUGUUGGGUAAGAAAAGCAGCAGGUUAAUACCCCGCUGUUCUGACGGUACCCAAAGAAUAAGCACCGGCUAACUUCGUG